CGAUGGGAGCUUGCUCCCAGGCGUCGAGUGGCGGACGGGUGAGUAAUACUUAGGAAUCUACCCAGUAGCGGGGGACAACUCGAGGAAACUCGAGCUAAUACCGCAUACGCCCUACGGGGGAAAGCAGGGGAUCUUCGGACCUUGCACUAUUGGAUGAGCCUAAGUCGGAUUAGCUUGUUGGUGAGGUAAAGGCUCACCAAGGCAACGAUCCGUAGCUGGUCUGAGAGGACGAUCAGCCACACUGGGACUGAGACACGGCCCAGACUCCUACGGGAGGCAGCAGUGGGGAAUAUUGGACAAUGGGGGCAACCCUGAUCCAGCAAUGCUGCGUGUGUGAAGAAGGCCUGCGGGUUGUAAAGCACUUUCAGUAGAGAAGAAAAGCCUACGGUUAAUACCCGUGAGUCUUGACGUUACCUACAGAAGAAGCUCCGGCUAACUCCGUGCCAGCAGCCGCGGUAAUACGGAGGGAGCGAGCGUUAAUCGGAAUUACUGGGCGUAAAGCGCGCGUAGGCGGCUUUGUAAGUCGGAUGUGAAAGCCCUGGGCUCAACCU
RNAcentral lists this ribosomal RNA (551 nucleotides) under uncultured bacterium. RNAcentral describes it as "bacterial SSU rRNA". It matches the Rfam family "Bacterial small subunit ribosomal RNA", at positions 69 to 615 of the family's 1533-position model. The record is from RNAcentral.